This is a long non-coding RNA of Canis lupus familiaris (dog), 8926 nucleotides long. RefSeq lists it as uncharacterized. The transcript is spliced from 6 exons. The record is from RefSeq and is a predicted model, not a curated record. NCBI's taxonomy places the organism in Eukaryota, Metazoa, Chordata, Mammalia, Carnivora, Canidae.
GCGCCGGGCGCGCGGUCGCUCCGCCCCUUCUCGAGGGAGCCCCGCCCCCCGUCGAGGUCCCUCGGGGCGAGGGUGGCGCCUACGCUCUCCGAGGCUGGAAGUCCAAAAUCAAGGUAUCAGCAAGUCCGUGUUCCUUCUGAAACCUGUAGAUUAUGAAAGAAACGACUCUACCUUGUUACUUUUGAUAGGAAACUGUAAACUCUAGAGUGUUCUCUUAUCCUGUACACUCAUCUGAUCUGUGUCCAUGACUCCUGAUUAAAAAUACAACUUUCACUUGACUUUACAGGCCUGCACAGGAUCAGUUUCCUAAUGUAUUCCACGUGUGCUUGGGAAGAAUGUAGAUUCCGGUCAGAGACCGGGUUCUCUGCAGCUCCAUUUCACAAGCCUGUUUGCUGAAUUGUUUGAGUCUACCGUAUGCUUGCUGCAUCGUAUCCUUCAUCUGUCGAUAAAUUGAGAGGAGAAGGUGAGAUCUCCCAUUAUAAUAGUGUAGUCUUGGGGUGCCUGGGCUGCUCAGUUGGUUAAGCAGCCGGCUCGAUUUCGGCUCAGGUCAUGAUCUCAGGGUUGGGGGAUCGAGCCCUGGGUUGGGCUCUGUGCUACCAUGGAGUUUGCUUUAGAUUCUCUCCCUCUCCCAUUGCCCCUCCCCCCUCACUCUCUAAAAUCAAUCAAUCAAUCAAUCAAUCUUUAAAUAAUAAUAAUGUAGCCUUCCAAACUUGUAGUUCUGCCAAUUUUUACUUAUCAAUUUUUAAAAUGAUAUAUAGGAGUAGCUGCGUACAAAUUUAGAAUUUUGCCCUUCUGCUAAGGCUUUUUAACAUUAGAAAAUAGAUCUUCCUUUGUUUUUACUAGUGCUUUUUACUUUGUUUUGUUGAUCCUUUUGUUGUCAACCAUUGGGCCCUAUGCUUUGUUAGCUUUGUCCCCCCACCCCCACCGCCCAAAGAGGCAUAUUGUUUUUUAAAGAGCAUGUGGCAUAUUUCCAUCAUCAUUCUCCUUUUUGUUUAGUUCAUUUGAUUACAUUUAUAAUUACUAGUAAUCUUUCAUACUGUAUUUGUACUGCUUUUAAAAAUAGUUUAUUUCUCCUUUAUCCCUUUAGAUCAAGUUUUUAAAAGCAUUUUUUCCUCCACGAACUAGUUUGAUAUAACCUUCUAUUUGUGUGUUUUGAUGUAUUUAACUUACACUAAAAAUAAUCUAUUCUUUGUUCUCUUCCUAGACAACCUACAACACUUCCUUGUUUGAUGUAUUAUAUAAUGUCCAGUAUUUUAAUUUUUUAUUGCUAUUCAAAUGAGAUGUUAGGGUUUUUUUCAAAGAUUUUAUUUAUUUGGAGAGAGAGCACAAGCAGUGGUGGAGUAGCAGGCAGAGGCAGCAGCAGGCUCCCCACUGAGUGAGGAGCCCGAUGUGGGGCUCCAUCCCAGGACCCUGGGAUCAUGACCUGAACAGAAGGCAGACACUUAACCCACUCAGCCCUCCAGGCCUCCCAAGAUGUUACUUUUUAUACAAUCAGUAUUUGUUUUUAAUUUAGUCACAUUCACUUAGUUCUUUGUCCAGGAUUCCUUCAUGCGUCUCGGACUUUUACAGGUAGGAUUGUUUUCCUUCUUUCUGGAAUACUUCCUUUGGAGUUUCUUUAGUUACAGAGAUCUGGCAGUAAUGAACCCGUUUUGUUUGUCAGCAUGCUUCCACAACUGUGGAAUUUUCUGACCCUCCAACUAUGACUACAGAUCAGAGGCAUCCUAAGUCACCACCCACCCGCAGGUGCCCCGUGCCUCAGAGCUGCAGAAGCCUGCGUGCAAGGUCGGCUCUGCUGCGCACUUUCUUGGGUUCUCCUCCCGGCAAACAUGAGGCCAUGGUGUAUGUCUAGGGAGGAGACCCCAGAUGAACAUACCACUCAUUAAGGACACAUGACUGUUCUGUGUACAGCAAAGAAAUCUAGAAGUGUGGAACGUGUACAGAAAGUGAUGCAGAUACAGCACUUAAAACCGAGGGAAUUCAUGCUUUAAUAGACACUGAAAUCACAAAGGAAGGCCAAGUGCCUUAACAAUCUCAAUAAAAAUAUGAAGUUCUUUUUACAUGGUAAAUUUCGUAAUAUAAAAAGUUUAAUGCCAUCUGGAAACUGUAAUUUACAAAAAAUGUCCACAUAGGCCAAAGAUGGCUAACACUGCAUACAAGGGGGGUGAGUGCCAAGUGGGGAAGGCGUCUGAGGAGGGAGAGGUAACCGCAUGUGUCCUUACAUGGAACAUCUUUGAAAGAUCCGUUACAAACGGGGGCCCAGUUCACAAACCACAUGUGUUACAGUCAUUUUAGAUAAAACAACAAAAUAUAUGAUGAAAAUUAUGCAAUUUUCACCCUCUGCCUACUUACUAAAAGCAACCAGAGUGUUGCGUGGUAUUUUUUCCAAACUGAACUGAAACCAGCAAAGUGACCGUGGGAGGCGGUGGGACAGGCGCCUUACUGGGGACUUGCUCCAGUGACCACCUGCUGAGAUUCACUGGAACAGCAUACGCGGAUGAGGACAGUGUGUGCAGCACCUUGUCUCCUGCUGAGACCCAGCGAGUAUCAGGGUGGACCAUGACAUUUUUCAAACAGGAUGGAGGUGAGAAUAUUUUCCUUUCACUACACACUAAUGUUCAAACUGUAAGUUUUGCAGCUUUGUUUUGGUACUUUGAUUUAGUUAAAAUCAGUGAAGCAGUCGAGCAGUUCACUGGUGAGAAUUAGGAUAGGAUCUACUACCUUGCUUUGUGGUCAUACCACGGUUUCUAGGAGAGGGAGAUUUUAUUGCUUGUGAUCAGUGUACUUGCAUCUGAUGGAGUAGAAUAGGGCAGGGCAUUCCAGUUUCCUGAGCUGAAAAAGAAAUAUGUCCAAUGCUAUCUGCAUAUAGUGAGGAAAAGGGUUUUGUCUUCUUUUUUUUCUUUUUUCUUUUUUUUUUUUUUUUUGUAAAUUUUACCCACAUUCAUGGCUCAUUCCAAGUGGAGCAAAGAGCCACGGACUAUGCAGGAGUUAUUUGCUUCUAUCCACAUGGCUCAGGGGUUCCAUGCAUGCCAAUUUUAUCCACAACUUGACACUCACUUUCCCUAGACUGUAGACACAAAACAUUCUAAUUGUGUUGUCCGUCCCCUACACCAGGAGUCAGCAAACUUUUUCUUAAAAGGUCAGGUAUUAGGUAAUUUAGGCUUGGUGGGCCAAGAGGCAAAAUCAAGAGUAUGAUGCAGGUACUUACAUAACUUUUUAAACCUGUAAAAUCCAUUCCUAUCUCAUGGCUAUAAAAAACCAGGCCUCUGACCGGAUUUAGCCCGUGGGUCAUGGUCUGCCAACCCCCAAUCUACACAAAGGUAUCUGUGACUUACACAGUCUCACAUAAUUAUUAAGUGCAUAUUUUUUUUUCAGGGGUUGGAGCCGGAAAAAUUUACUUUGAUUUUACAUCUAUUUCACUCAUCAAGAAAACACCAAGACUGACAGUAAACAUAAAGAGGUGGCAACUCUACAGUGAUUUGAGAUUGGUCCUAUUAUUUUGUCAUGUUUGCUUUCUUUCAUUGAACCUUCUUUUCUAUCUAGGACAAAAAACAAAAACAAAAACACACCAUUUGGUUUUUCAACAUGAAACCUAAAACAACAAUGUAAUCAGGACUAAAACCAAGUUGGGGUCGACUGAGACCUCCUCGCUGGCUCGGUUAAUGCUCACCCCUACCUAGGCGAUCUUUUGUCUCGGCCUAGCUGGCAACAACUCAGGAAGCCGGCACGCUGGAGGGGACGCCCAGCCUUGUCUAGGACAGCACUUUCAGGAACGGCUGUUUCCCUGCUCAUCAAUGACUGGGAUGUGAAUCCCAGCAUAAGGCCCCCUGCUUCUCAGGCUGCGCACAGGACAGGGUGCUGUGGGACGGGAGCGGGCUGGUCCCGGCUCAGCCUUCGGCCAGCAGAUUAUAAGAAAAGAAAGAAAAAAGAGAGAGAAAGAAGAGAGUUUAGACUCAAGCACAGGUUGUUAUGCAACAUGAGCUGAUCGCUGCUUUAGGAAGCGCCACAGCAGGCCCGCGGCGGCUCUGACCGGGAGGGGAGAGGAGCGAGAGUCAGCAGGGACGCACAGGAGAACAAACAGCCACGCAGGCCAGACACGGUCGGGGCAGCCAGGCCCUGCCCUUCCCGGCCAGGAGAGGAGCAGGGCAGCCGGACGCAAGUGGGGAGGGGGCGCAGCGGGCACGGACGGCCGCUCCAGACACCGAGGGCCGUGGUUCCUGAGCGACUCCACAAACAGCCACCACCUGCCGGCCACGGGGGCAGCCCGGGACCCUGGCCGGCGGCCCAGCGGGAUCACAGGCGGGAAAUCCCUGUGAUGCCACCAAAUGCAAGACAUUAAGCAGCUGGCUUCUGGGACUCAGCCUUGCCCUGCAAAUGUAAUUCUGACUUUCUCUUUAGUGGAGCACAGGCUUCCAGCCCUCUUGGGCUCAGGACGUUUUGAUUCUAGAAGUGCCUUCCUGGUUUUCCUCAACAAGAAGACAAACAGCUUAUUGCAAAAUGAACAGCAACUCAAGAAGGGUCCAUGUCCUUGAACUGGGCUCCCAAUCUGAGCUGGAAACCCCCUCGGGGGGUGGGAGCCCGAGGCACCAAUCAGAUUUUCAGAGGCUGAUCCCAGACAGAGCAGCUUUAUUUCCACACAGAAAUAGUUCCGUUUAAAAUGAAAUCUGUGGGCAACCCCAGUGGCUCAGCGGUUUAGCGCCGCCUUCAGCCCAGGGUGUGAUUCUGGGGACCCGGGAUCGAGUCCCACAUGGGGCUCCCUGCAUGGAGUCUGCUUUUCCCUCUGCCUGUGUCUCUGCCUCUCUCUCUCCUCCCCCGCUCAUGAAUAAAUAAAAUCUUUAAAAAAUAAAUAAAAUGAAAUCUGAUAAAUAAUAAUGAUAUAUGUUGUUUUUUCAAGUUAUUACACUACCAGCCGACCAGAGAAAACUAUUCUGUGCUCUUUAGGGGUUGCUAUGCCAUUGAGAAGCCCUCCCCCACACUGUGGUCACCCCGGGGUUCACAGUCCAGACCCUCACUGGCCGGUAGGAAGAGUAGGAGCUCUGAGGCCGAGUUGGGAAGGGCCUGUGCGAUGCUGAGAGUUAGCAUCGUCCUGAUGCCCGGAUUAGAUCUCCGUUCCCCUAACCUGCUAAGCAGUAUCUUGCAUUAGAGUGACUUUGUGUUCACUGCUGUGCCUCAGUGGCAGGGCUCAUACUCUGAUCUAGGAUAAGUAUCAAGACACCUGCUGGCUCAGGAAGUGUGGCUGUAACACUUGGCAAUCAGCAGAAAGAGUUGGAGGUGGGGUGGUGACAAGGUACAGGAGGCCACUGAAUGGAGAGGUCAGGAAAUGCCCUGAGACUGUAGGUCACAGGGGCCCCUGAAGCAUCCUCUGAAGGCCCUGCUGCUCUUGGAACCCACUUCCCAGAGACAGACGAGAGGCUUUUGCCCCCGGGUGUGCAUGUGCCUGGCAGGGGGCGGGGCAGGGGGCUGUUUCACCCCCCAGCCCUUAUCUUUCCCUUCUAGUCACAGAGGCUGAAAAAUGUAACAAGACCAAGUCACUUGCAGGUUCCCAUGUAGGGCCAAUUCACCCUGUCCUUCCAGCUCAGCCCAGCCCUCGGGCCUGGGCUCAGCCACCCUGGCUCAACUCACCCGGCUGAUGAGCUGCUCGCCAGUCUCCGAGGCAGUGAUGAGCUUGCAGAGGGCUUGGAGGGCAGGGUUGGGCAGACCUAAAUGGAAAAGGAGGACGGUGUUACCCACAGCCCGGCUGCCUUCCCGGGCACCGAGCCUGAGACACUCCACAUCGGUGGCAUUACAGAAGCUCGGGACAGCCAGGUGUGUGGGUCUGUGUCUAACUGGAGAAAAGAGAGAAGGGCCUUGGAGAAAGGCCAGUCGUCCCGGUGUGUGGUCACAGUCCCAGGACCCGGCUCUGCCCCAGGCAGAAGCACCUCUGAAUGAAGCACAAAAGGCAGCCGUGGCACCUGCAGCCUGCGUCACCCCGGUCUUUGGCCAUGGCUCUGGCAGAUCCGAGGCUGCCAAUUAAACACGAAGGCAGCCACUGUUUGCCCAGCGUUCCUUCCUGUCGGCCCGGGAAGAGGCGGCGCCGGGCCAGCGCCCUGCUGGGGCAGAGUGCACCCUGUGUUCCAGGUCUCCAGAUCCACAGAGGCCUGCCUCUGCGACUCCUUGCCACCUCAGGAUGCCCGCUCCUUCCCACCGUGAGGUCCAACACCCCUCGUGAGGCAGGGCCCACAGCCACCAACUACUGUGCCCACGCUGGGAGCCAGCCCCUCGGUGGCCCAGCCCAGCCUGAGGCUCACCCAGCAGGGACUGGAUGGUGCUGCUGCACUGCUGGAGCCGGUCACCCGGGUCGGAGGUUGGGAAGAAGACGGCCGCCGGCAGGCCACUGGCAGGGGGGUCCAGCCGGAAGCCCACGGCAGUGAGGAGGGCCUGCCAGCCAGGGAUGCCGCCCACUUUGUUCUCCACACUCUGCUGGGACGUGUACAUGGCAUUGCGCUGCCCAUUCUGGAUGCGCUGCAGGGACUUCUCCACCUGGAAGGGAAGCGGGAAUGAAGCGCCACUCCGGUCACGGGCAGGCCCUGGCUUCUCUCCCAGUGGCUUGGGGGGGCACCCGAAGCCUCAGGUUUGAGGCCAGUGCAGGGCUGCCUGCUGCCACCUGGACACCCCGGCCUGAGGACCAAGGCACGGUGGCAACAGCCUAGCCCGAGAGGGAAGGUCCAAAGGGAAAGGGGUUACUUUCCAGCGUCAGCAAGGCUGGGAGACAGAGAAUUCUGUCCCUGCCCUAGGCCACACCUCCUGCUCCGGGCUCUCCUCCACAGACGCCACAGCCCACUCUCAGGCCAGUGCCUGCCCCAGGCCACGUAAAGACCCCCACCACCAGGAUAAACCUUCAGGCCCUCGGGAACCCCCUUCACAGCCCAUAGCCCUUGCCUGCGCCAAGCAGCACCCACCACAGGGUUCUGAUUGCCACUGCCCUUCUUCCCUGCACUUCAGGCUCACCCUCCAUCCCACAGCAGGGGCCCCUGGGCCUCAAGUACCCCUCCCACCUGCCAGGGCCUAAACCCACGCCUGGCACACGUGGGCUGAAUUUGUCCAAGUAACUGCUAGUCAACUCCCCGGUGAGCAUCCCAUGGUACUUGCAAUGGCAUCGGCCUCCCUGGCAGUUUCUCUCCCCCUCGGGGAAAUCGCAGGCCGUCCUGAACUACCGCAUGCCCUGGGGCACGUGUGCCAUCAUGAGAGGGGCAGAAGAGUCGUCCAAGAGGUCACCCAAGACUUUCCUUCUACCACCCUGGGAUGCUGGGGGCUGACCUCACAGGUUGGAGGACACGAGUGUUCCUGGGCAGGACAGACAACCAGGCCAUCGGGCUGGAAGGUCUUUGGAGACACAUUGCCCACUGGGGUCAAGGGCAAUGGAGGUAAGGGCUUGUAAACCUGACCCAUGGCCCCUGGACUCACCCCAGGAAAUGAAGCCAAGAAGAGACAACCUCUAAACAUGCCUGAGGGGCCUCAAGGCCGAGUGGGGAGCCAAGGCCUGGCUCUUGCUCCACGACCCGGUCUGGGAGAAGACAGCCACGUGGGUAGAGACGGUGGUUCAGUUACCUAAGAGAAGCCGCCUGGGAGCCGCAGCAAGGAAGGAGGGGACUCUGCGGUGAUGGGGACCGGAAGGGGUCCUAAUGCUGAGCAGCUGAAUCGCUCUGCACAGUUUCCAGGAACAGGUUAAAAUCAGUCAAGAGUCUUCACAGAGUCUCAAGGCAAGUGAGCACAGCUCCCGGGGGCAGGAGGAGCGGGCUAUCUCAAAGCUGGCUCGAGAGCUGCCUGGGGUAUCCGGUGACAUCAUUCCUACCUGGUCACACGCUGGUAUCAGGUGAGCCCUAACUUAAGGGAUGUACAGGACUGACCUCCCACCAGAAGUACCCUGAGCACCACCACCCUGGGCCCCAGACCCACAGGGCAGUAAGUUUGCCCAGCAGAGGGGACGUGCUCCCUGGAACCCAGCCCCCAAACUAAACUCCCCAGCCGUAGCCUCCAGCCCGCUCCCAGGGCCUGUGCCUCUCUGUCCUUUGGGGUGGCAGUGGGGCAGCUGUGUGCAUCGGGUCUGGAAGGAGCAUGUCCACCCACACGGCUGGGGCUGGGCUGGUCUUUCUUGCUCAGAACUCCACGGAAGCUAACAAUUCGCAACGUUAGAAAGUGCCUUCCUGGUUAUCAAAGUGGAAGGGUGGAACUAGUUCUAGGUCACCGCUGCUUAGCUUGAUUUCUCACUUUUCAAUGUGUGGACGAUGACGCAGAGCCUCUGUCUGUACCCUCACCCCUGACCCCACAGAGGCUGGGACUGGGUAAAUACAGGGUCAGUGCCUGGACUCUUCCUCCAAAUUGAGGGGAAGGCCAGUGCCAUGUGACUCCAGAAUAUCAUCUCUCAGCCGCUAGGACCCUACUUCUGCCUGCUUCUCACCUUUUCUCUAAGCCUCAAGAUAACCAGGAAACAUCCCCCUUCCAGAUGAGGAAAUUGAAGCUCAGAGAUGCGGGUGAUUUGCCCAAAUCUUCACAGCCCAGAAAGAGCUGCAGCGUGGGCCCCAGGACCUUGGCAAGGAGGCUGCAGCAUCCCCAUGACACAUCAUGCCCACCAUUCAACCGACUGGCUCAACCUGUGGAUGUCCUAGCACAAGGUCCCCUCCACCUGGCUCAUGUCCCUGGUGAUUGGGACAGGCCGCAGCCUCCCUUCUCGUGCCCCUCCGCCGGCUCUCCAGGGCAGCGGGGCCCCAGGAGCCUGGGGGAGGGCCCUUACCAGGUGCAGCAGCACUCGCAGGGCGUCCCGGGCGCGCUCUGGGUGCUGGAGGAUCUCCGUGAGGGCCUGGCCGAUGAGCGACGAGGGACUAUUCAGUUUAACGUCACUCCCGAUGAGUGUGAACCCUGUGGAGGACACAGAAGGGCAUCUCAGAGCCCG